UACGAAGGGGGCUAGCGUUGUUCGGAAUUACUGGGCGUAAAGCGCACGUAGGCGGACCUGUUAGUCAGAGGUGAAAUCCCGAAGCUUAACUUCGGAACUGCCUUUGAUACUGCAGGUCUCGAGGAUGGGAGAGGUGAGUGGAACUGCGAGUGUAGAGGUGAAAUUCGUAGAUAUUCGCAAGAACACCAGUGGCGAAGGCGGCUCACUGGCCCAUUACUGACGCUGAGGUGCGAAAGCGUGGGGAGCAAACAGG
Molecule: ribosomal RNA, 253 nt
Filed under: uncultured bacterium
Lineage: Bacteria
Description: partial 16S ribosomal RNA
Rfam family: Bacterial small subunit ribosomal RNA
Source: RNAcentral